AUCCAGACUCCUACGGGAGGCAGCAGUGGGGAAUAUUGGGCAAUGGGCGCAAGCCUGACCCGGCAACGCCGCGUGAAGGAAGAAGGCUUUCGGGUUGUAAACUUCUUUUGACAGGGAAGAGUAGAAGACGGUACCUGUCGAAUAAGCCACGGCUAACUACGUGCCAGCAGCCGCGGUAAUACGUAGGGGGCAAGCGUUAUCCGGAUUCACUGGGUGUAAAGGGAGCGUAGACGGCCAUGCAAGCCUGGAGUGAAAGCCCGGGGCCCAACCCCGGGACUGCUCUGGGAACUGUGCGGCUGGAGUGCGGGAGGGGCAGGCGGAAUUCCUGGUGUAGCGGUGAAAUGCGUAGAUAUCAGGAGGAACACCGGCGGCGAAGGCGGCCUGCUGGACCGCGACUGACGUUGAGGCUCGAAAGCGUGGGGAGCAAACAGGAUUAGAUACCCCAGUA
This 448-nucleotide ribosomal RNA is filed under the name uncultured bacterium. RNAcentral's name for it is "bacterial SSU rRNA". It matches the Rfam family "Bacterial small subunit ribosomal RNA", at positions 329 to 792 of the family's 1533-position model. The record is from RNAcentral.